This 77-nucleotide non-coding RNA is filed under the name unclassified sequences. The record is from RNAcentral.
UGCAGAGUGACGGGGCAGCAGCCUCGGUAAUGCGGGAACCGUUCGGUAUUUCAGGACGGCUGCGGUCACAACCCCGC